GCUUCACAUGAUUGUUAUUUUUUAUAGAUUUAUAAGUUUAAUUUUAUAAAAUAAGAUUAUGUUUUGUUGGGGUGACAUGAGUAUAAUUUUUUUAACUGCUUAGUAUUAAAAACAUAAGUUUAUGAAUUUAUGAUCCUUUAUAAAGAUUACCAGAAUAAGUU
Molecule: ribosomal RNA, 161 nt
Filed under: Metadromia wilsoni
Lineage: Eukaryota; Metazoa; Arthropoda; Malacostraca; Decapoda; Dromiidae
Description: partial 16S ribosomal RNA
Source: RNAcentral